UAAAUCAAUUUUAAUCUCUAUUAAAAUAUCUGUCUUGCAAUUCAGUGAAUUUUGAAGGUUUCAAUUUGUUUCUGUUUUUAUUCAUGAUAUUGAUAUGUAAGUUUCUGUUUAUUUCUGGUUUCAAUUCACACUGCAUGGUUUUCUAGUAAUGGAAAUUGUAUGCUUUCUUAGGGGGGGACUAUAAUAUGAUGAGAACCGGAGAGGGUGAUUGCUUUUUGCAACUUUAAUUUGAUAGAUACAUUCUCUUUCACCUUUUGUAGUCGCCUUUUAUCAGUUCAGCAUAAAGCAGCUAGUAUGCUUGGAAAUGCAAGUAAAUUUUUAUUGCAAUUUUUGAAAUAUAACCUAGAUAUUCUUCAUUAGUUCUUUGUCCAUGUCAUGAUGAAUACCUAAAAUGUUUAAUGCUCAUUGGACCGGCAAAUAGUGAUUGAGAUUCAAUAUCAUUUUUUAUCUUCUAUUUGGUUACUUAAGCAGAUAAGCAUGGCUAGGACAUGCCUACAUACGUGCUGCCUAAGCCUUUGUCUUCCCAUGCCCUAUUUGAUUAUCAUAAUCAUCAAUCUAUUAAUUUAUCUGCUAUUUUUGAUGAUUAAUGCUGAUUAGCAUGACUAGAAGACACCUAUUCAUGUGCCGCCAAACCCAUUUUCUUCUUCUCUCUCCCCACAACACAAAAAAAAGGCCUUCCCCUUUUCUAUUGAAAUAUUAUUCCCAAAGAAAAUUUUUGUUGAGCACCUGCUUGGAUGUUUUUCUUCUAGUAUACAAAUUUGAGGCAUCUUAUGAAGAGCAUAAGAACGCCAAUGACAUUCUUGAUGCUCGUAUGAUAUCCUGUGCAUUUAUUGAUUUGAUUUCUCAAUUUUUAAGUUGUUGCAAAUUAUUCUAAUUGCCACCAAAAGUGAGAAUAAA
Molecule: unclassified non-coding RNA, 897 nt
Filed under: Hevea brasiliensis (rubber tree)
Lineage: Eukaryota; Viridiplantae; Streptophyta; Magnoliopsida; Malpighiales; Euphorbiaceae
Source: RNAcentral